UCCUCCCUCUUUCUUCGUGCUUAACACAUGCAAGUCGAACGGAAAGGCCCUGCUUUUGUGGGGUGCUCGAGUGGCGAACGGGUGAGUAACACGUGAGUAACCUGCCCUUGACUUUGGGAUAACUUCAGGAAACUGGGGCUAAUACCGGAUAGGAGCUCCUGCUGCAUGGUGGGGGUUGGAAAGUUUCGGCGGUUGGGGAUGGACUCGCGGCUUAUCAGCUUGUUGGUGGGGUAGUGGCUUACCAAGGCUUUGACGGGUAGCCGGCCUGAGAGGGUGACCGGCCACAUUGGGACGGAGAUACGGCCCAGACGCCUACGGGAGGCAGCAGGGGGGAAUAUUGCACAAUGGGCGGAAGCCUGAUGCAGCAACGCCGCGUGCGGGAGGACGGCCUUCGGGUUGUAAACCGCUUUCGCAUGUGACGAAGCGUGAGGGACGGGAAUGGGUAAAGAAGCACCGGCGAACUACGU
RNAcentral lists this ribosomal RNA (467 nucleotides) under uncultured bacterium. RNAcentral describes it as "partial 16S ribosomal RNA". It matches the Rfam family "Bacterial small subunit ribosomal RNA", at positions 34 to 506 of the family's 1533-position model. The record is from RNAcentral.